CGCUUGCACAGUUUAUCGUCUGGUAGGUUAUUAAUCCUUUUAAAGUACGCAACUUUUUGGCGGGUGAUAAAUGCAAAUACGGGUUCCCAUCCAAGCUCGAGAAGGAGAGCGGAACGGGGAAUAUUUAUUUUAGUGUUCAUAAUGAUCUUAGCUGCGCGGUAUUGCCAACUGUCGAUGAUCGAUAUAUUUGUAGCUGAAAGUGGCAUCGAGACGGCGCAUGCGUGUGUUAAAGAAGGCCGGAGCACUGAGUUCCAAAGGGCGUCUCCAAAUUAAACACGGUUAAAAUUUCCAUGCUCACCGAGGACACGUAACAAAUAGUUCAGCAUAUUAUCCAUCUUAUCUUUCAAAUAGUUAUUUACAUGGAAAUUUGACUUUAGUGAUCUAUUUAUGUAGUAACCGAGGUAUUUAUAUUCGUUCACUUUCUCGAUAUUUAC
RNAcentral lists this long non-coding RNA (434 nucleotides) under Mytilus galloprovincialis (Mediterranean mussel). The record is from RNAcentral. Lineage: Eukaryota; Metazoa; Mollusca; Bivalvia; Mytilida; Mytilidae.